RNAcentral lists this ribosomal RNA (494 nucleotides) under uncultured bacterium. Its description in RNAcentral is "partial 16S ribosomal RNA". It matches the Rfam family "Bacterial small subunit ribosomal RNA", at positions 28 to 523 of the family's 1533-position model. The record is from RNAcentral.
GAUGAACGCUAGCGGCAGGCUUAACACAUGCAAGUCGAGGGGUAUAGGUUUUCGGACCUAGAGACCGGCGCACGGGUGCGUAACGCGUAUGCAAUCUACCUUGUACAGGGGGAUAGCCCAGAGUAAUUUGGAUUAAUACCCCAUAGUAUUAUAGAAUGGCAUCAUUUUAUAAUUAAAGUUCCAACGGUACAAGAUGAGCAUGCGUCCCAUUAGCUAGUUGGUAUGGUAACGGCAUACCAAGGCUACGAUGGGUAGGGGUCCUGAGAGGGAGAUCCCCCAAACUGGUACUGAGACACGGACCAGACUCGUACGGGAGGCAGCAGUGAGGAAUAUUGGUCAAUGGUCGCAAGUAUGAACCAGCCAUGCCGCGUGCAGGAGGACGGUCCUAUGGAGUGUAACCUGCUUUCGUACAGGAAGAAACACUCCUACGUGUAGGAACUUGACGGUAAUGUAAGAAUAAGGUUCGGCUAACUCCGUGCCAGCCGCCGCGGUAA